Molecule: ribosomal RNA, 380 nt
Filed under: uncultured eukaryote
Lineage: Eukaryota
Description: partial 18S ribosomal RNA
Rfam family: Eukaryotic small subunit ribosomal RNA
Source: RNAcentral
CAAUAGCGUAUAUUAAAGUUGCUGCAGUUAAAAAGCUCGUAGUUGCAUUUCCGAGGCAAGGGAUUAGUCCGACCUUUGGUGGGUAUUUAAUCCUCUUGCCUCGUCCUUGAGUGGUGCUUCUUGGUAUUAAGUUAUCGAGGAGAUAGCCGCUCAUCGUUUACUGUGAGAAAAUUAGAGUGUUCAAAGCAGGCUUAUGCCGUUGAAUAUAUUAGCAUGGAAUAAUAAGAUAGGACCUCGGUACUAUUUUGUUGGUUUGAGAACCAAGGUAAUGAUGAAUAGGGACAGUUGGGGGUAUUCGUAUUCAGUUGUCAGAGGUGAAAUUCUUAGAUUUACGGAAGACGAACUACUGCGAAAGCAUUUACCAAGGAUGUUUNCAUUAA